AGGAUGAACGCUGGCGGCGUGCUUAACACAUGCAAGUCGAACGGUGAAGUGAGGAGCUUGCUCCUUGCGGAUCAGUGGCGAACGGGUGAGUAACACGUGAGUAACCUGCCCUUGACUCUGGGAUAAGCGUUGGAAACGACGUCUAAUACCGGAUACGACCUCCGAAGGCAUCUUCUGGAGGUGGAAAGAAUUUCGGUCAAGGAUGGACUCGCGGCCUAUUAGUUAGUUGGCGGGGUAAUGGCCCACCAAGACUGUGAUCGGUA
This 263-nucleotide ribosomal RNA is filed under the name uncultured bacterium. RNAcentral describes it as "partial small subunit ribosomal RNA". It matches the Rfam family "Bacterial small subunit ribosomal RNA", at positions 26 to 285 of the family's 1533-position model. The record is from RNAcentral.